This 497-nucleotide ribosomal RNA is filed under the name uncultured bacterium. RNAcentral describes it as "partial 16S ribosomal RNA". It matches the Rfam family "Bacterial small subunit ribosomal RNA", at positions 28 to 507 of the family's 1533-position model. The record is from RNAcentral.
GAUGAACGCUGGCGGCGUGCCUAAUACAUGCAAGUCGAGCGAACAGACGAGGAGCUUGCUCCUCUGACGUUAGCGGCGGACGGGCGAGUAACACGUGGAUAACCUACCUAUAAGUCUGGGAUAACUUCGGGAAACCGGAGCUAAUACCGGAUAAUAUAUUGAACCGCAUGGUUCAAUAGUGAAAGACGGUUUUGCUGUCACUUAUAGAUGGAUCCGCGCCGCAUUAGCUAGUUGGUAAGGUAACGGCUUACCAAGGCAACGAUGCGUAGCCGACCUGAGAGGGUGAUCGGCCACACUGGAACUGAGACACGGUCCAGACUCCUACGGGAGGCAGCAGUAGGGAAUCUUCCGCAAUGGGCGAAAGCCUGACGGAGCAACGCCGCGUGAGUGAUGAAGGUCUUCGGAUCGUAAAACUCUGUUAUUAGGGAAGAACAAAUGUGUAAGUAACUAUGCACGUCUUGACGGUACCUAAUCAGAAAGCCCCGGCUAACUACGUG